GUCAGGAUGGCCGAGUGGUCUAAGGCACCAGACUUAAGUUCUGGUCUCCAACUGGAGGCGUGGGUUCGAAUCCCACUUCUGACA
RNAcentral lists this transfer RNA (84 nucleotides) under Loxodonta africana (African savanna elephant). RNAcentral describes it as "tRNA-Leu (TAA) (tRNA-Leu-TAA-2-1, tRNA-Leu-TAA-2-2)". It matches the Rfam family "tRNA". From Rfam's summary of the family: Transfer RNA (tRNA) molecules are approximately 80 nucleotides in length. Their secondary structure includes four short double-helical elements and three loops (D, anti-codon, and T loops). Lineage: Eukaryota; Metazoa; Chordata; Mammalia; Proboscidea; Elephantidae. The record is from RNAcentral.